AGGAUGGGCCUCGGGCCGGCCCGGCCCUUGGGGAUGGCGGGGAAGGGCGCCCUGCGUCCGGCAGAGGAGGCGAGCAUCCCCGCUCAGGUGAUGAGGAACCCCUCGCGCACCCAGCGCAGAAGGCUGCUGCCGCCGGACGCCUCCAUUGUUUGACCACAACAAGGGCCGGAUUCUCACCCAGGAUCCUAAGGCCUUUGUAGUCCUUCAGCCACUGUGGCCCCUGCCUCUGCCUGUUCUUCUGGAAUGUCUUGGGGGUUUUGAUCCUGUCACUGUGACCUGCAAAUCCAAGAGACACAUCUUUGGAAGAUAAGAGAGCUUCUUCAAGACCAAAAAAGGAGACGGCAUGAUACCCAUGUAGGGAAUUCCCCAAAGCAGGGCUUGCCAUACCUGGACCCCGAGGAGCCUGCUUGCUGGAAAGGCUUUCCUGUCUGAUGUGCAAGAGGCAGAAUGCCAAACUGACUCUUCAAGGGGCAACUGCAGGGGCUCGAGACCA
Molecule: small RNA, 493 nt
Filed under: Pan troglodytes (chimpanzee)
Lineage: Eukaryota; Metazoa; Chordata; Mammalia; Primates; Hominidae
Description: processed transcript
Source: RNAcentral